UCUGCGUCAAACUCAUCGAUUACGACGAA
Molecule: small RNA, 29 nt
Filed under: Bombyx mori (domestic silkworm)
Lineage: Eukaryota; Metazoa; Arthropoda; Insecta; Lepidoptera; Bombycidae
Description: ovarian small RNA-29985
Source: RNAcentral